ACCCCUCUGUGCGUAUGGCCAGUGCCUCUGGCCUGAGUUGACGGAGCUCUUCCUGUGGCCAGACAUCUACGUGUGCAUGAUCUCCUAUGCACACAACGUGGCGGCCCAGGGCAAGUACAUAGCUAUUGCCAGCACUACUGUGGAGACCACGGACCCUGAAAAGGAGGUGGAGCCAGCUCUGGAGCUGUUGGAGCCCAUUGACCAGAAGUUUGUGGCUAUCAGUGACUUGUAUGAGCCUAUUGAUGAUGGUUGUGAGAGCCAGGUAAGCAGCUUGUCCCAGCCCUGGCUCCUGGCUGCCCGCCCAGGGCACCUGCCUGACUCACCCUGGGCACUGGGCUCUGGCUGUUUCCAGGUGUUCUGUUCCUGCUCCUACGAUGCCACCACACACUUUGAGACAACCUGCAACGACAUCAAAGACAUCUACAAACGCAUGGCUGGCACGGCCUUUGACUUUGAGAACAUGAAGCGCAAACAGAACGACGUUUUUGGAGAAGCUGAGCAGUGAUUGUGGCCGCCCCCAGCCCCUGCUGCCCCAGCCUGUGUCUGUUCUC
RNAcentral lists this small RNA (551 nucleotides) under Pongo abelii (Sumatran orangutan). Its description in RNAcentral is "retained intron". The record is from RNAcentral. Lineage: Eukaryota; Metazoa; Chordata; Mammalia; Primates; Hominidae.